This 463-nucleotide ribosomal RNA is filed under the name uncultured bacterium. Its description in RNAcentral is "partial 16S ribosomal RNA". It matches the Rfam family "Bacterial small subunit ribosomal RNA", at positions 28 to 507 of the family's 1533-position model. The record is from RNAcentral.
GAUGAACGCUGACAGAAUGCUUAACACAUGCAAGUCUUUGGCGAAGCUGUGCUUGCACAGCCUAGCCAAGGCGGACGGGUGAGUAACGCGUAAGGAACUUGCCCUGCAGUCAGGGAUAACAGACGGAAACGACUGAUAAGACCUGGUAAAGUCAGGCGGACUCAUGUCCAGCCUGAUGAAAAGAGAUGCUGCAUGAGAGCCUUACGUCCUAUUAGCUUGUUGGUGGGGUAAUGGCCCACCAAGGAGAUGAUAGGUAGCCGGCCUGAGAGGGUGGACGGCCACAAGGGGGCUGAGAUGCGGCGCUCACGACUACGAGAGGAAGCAGUGGUGAAUAUUGGACAAUGGGGGCAAAAAUCAUCAACCAAUUCUGUGUGCACGAUGAAGGUUUUCGGAUUGUAAAGUGCUUCCAUCAGGGAAGAAAAAAAUGACGGUACCUGCAGAAGAAGCGACGGCUAACUACGUG